This 505-nucleotide ribosomal RNA is filed under the name uncultured bacterium. RNAcentral's name for it is "partial 16S ribosomal RNA". It matches the Rfam family "Bacterial small subunit ribosomal RNA", at positions 28 to 507 of the family's 1533-position model. The record is from RNAcentral.
GACGAACGCUGGCGGCGUGCCUAAUACAUGCAAGUAGAACGCACAGUUUAUACCGUAGCUUGCUACACCAUAGACUGUGAAUUGCGAACGGGUGAGUAACGCGUAGGUAACCUGCCUGGUAGCGGGGGAUAACUAUUGGAAACGAUAGCUAAUACCGCAUAAUAUUGAUUAUUGCAUGAUAAUUGAUUGAAAGAUGCUAUUGCAUCACUACCAGAUGGACCUGCGUUGUAUUAGCUAGUAGGUGAGGUAACGGCUCACCUAGGCGACGAUACAUAGCCGACCUGAGAGGGUGAUCGGCCACACUGGGACUGAGACACGGCCCAGACUCCUACGGGAGGCAGCAGUAGGGAAUCUUCGGCAAUGGACGAAAGUCUGACCGAGCAACGCCGCGUGAGUGAAGAAGGUUUUCGGAUCGUAAAGCUCUGUUGUAAGAGAAGAACGGGUGUGAGAGUGGAAAGUUCACACUGUGACGGUAUCUUACCAGAAAGGGACGGCUAACUACGUG